Molecule: non-coding RNA, 190 nt
Filed under: Sceliomorpha sp. ZL-2020
Lineage: Eukaryota; Metazoa; Arthropoda; Insecta; Hymenoptera; Scelionidae
Source: RNAcentral
UGGUGAUACAGCGUGUAAACACUGCGAGCAUUCAUCAGUUAUCGUAGAAUGGCCGACCAGUCGUUAUAACUGAUGGAAAUACCUAACCUAACCUGCGCGUAAAGCGCUCGCCAUUGAUGCGACGUGUUUCUUCACCCUUAGGUUCACGUCAAAUAAAAAUGGAAGGGGUCACUCGCAGUCCUUUUUUUUU